RNAcentral lists this ribosomal RNA (420 nucleotides) under Rhizobium sp. LR53. RNAcentral's name for it is "bacterial SSU rRNA". It matches the Rfam family "Bacterial small subunit ribosomal RNA", at positions 84 to 539 of the family's 1533-position model. Lineage: Bacteria; Pseudomonadati; Pseudomonadota; Alphaproteobacteria; Hyphomicrobiales; Rhizobiaceae. The record is from RNAcentral.
CCGUAUGGAGAGCGGCAGACGGGUGAGUAACGCGUGGUAACAUACCCUUUCCUGCGGAAUAGCUCCGGGAAACUGGAAUUAAUACCGCAUACGCCCUACGGGGGAAAGAUUUAUCGGGGAAGGAUUGGCCCGCGUUGAAUUAGCUAGUUGGUGGGGUAAAGGCCUACCAAGGCGACGAUCCAUAGCUGGUCUGAGAGGAUGAUCAGCCACAUUGGGACUGAGACACGGCCCAAACUCCUACGGGAGGCAGCAGUGGGGAAUAUUGGACAAUGGGCGCAAGCCUGAUCCAGCCAUGCCGCGUGAGUGAUGAAGGCCUUAGGGUUGUAAAGCUCUUUCACCGGAGAAGAUAAUGACGGUAUCCGGAGAAGAAGCCCCGGCUAACUUCGUGCCAGCAUGCGCGAUAUGACCAGGGGGGCUAGC